GCCUUCGUGGUGUAGUGAUCAGUACGCUCGACUCGUAUUCGAGCAGUCCGUGGUUCGAGUCCCGGUGAGAGCA
Molecule: transfer RNA, 73 nt
Filed under: Stegodyphus mimosarum
Lineage: Eukaryota; Metazoa; Arthropoda; Arachnida; Araneae; Eresidae
Rfam family: tRNA
About the family: Transfer RNA (tRNA) molecules are approximately 80 nucleotides in length. Their secondary structure includes four short double-helical elements and three loops (D, anti-codon, and T loops). Further hydrogen bonds mediate the characteristic L-shaped molecular structure. tRNAs have two regions of fundamental functional importance: the anti-codon, which is responsible for specific mRNA codon recognition, and the 3' end, to which the tRNAs corresponding amino acid is attached (by aminoacyl-tRNA synthetases). tRNAs cope with the degeneracy of the genetic code in two manners: having more than one tRNA (with a specific anti-codon) for a particular amino acid; and 'wobble' base-pairing, i.e. permitting non-standard base-pairing at the 3rd anti-codon position.
Source: Rfam by way of RNAcentral